Molecule: transfer RNA, 73 nt
Filed under: Podarcis lilfordi (Lilford's wall lizard)
Lineage: Eukaryota; Metazoa; Chordata; Lepidosauria; Squamata; Lacertidae
Description: tRNA.Thr
Rfam family: tRNA
About the family: Transfer RNA (tRNA) molecules are approximately 80 nucleotides in length. Their secondary structure includes four short double-helical elements and three loops (D, anti-codon, and T loops). Further hydrogen bonds mediate the characteristic L-shaped molecular structure. tRNAs have two regions of fundamental functional importance: the anti-codon, which is responsible for specific mRNA codon recognition, and the 3' end, to which the tRNAs corresponding amino acid is attached (by aminoacyl-tRNA synthetases). tRNAs cope with the degeneracy of the genetic code in two manners: having more than one tRNA (with a specific anti-codon) for a particular amino acid; and 'wobble' base-pairing, i.e. permitting non-standard base-pairing at the 3rd anti-codon position.
Source: RNAcentral
GGCAGAGUGGUGUAGUGGUUAAGAGCGGUAGACUCGUAAUCUGGUGAACUGGGUUCACUUCCCCGCUCCUCCA